ACGUAGGGAGCGAGCGUUAUCCGGAUUUAUUGGGUGUAAAGGGUGCGUAGGCGGUUUAUUAGGUCUAUGGUUUAAUUCCGAAGCUUAACUUCGGUUCGCCAUAGAAACCGAUUUACUUGAGUAUGGUAGAGGCAAGUGGAAUUUCUAGUGUAGCGGUAAAAUGCGUAGAUAUUAGAAGGAACACCAGUGGCGAAGGCGACUUGCUGGGCCAUCACUGACGCUGAGGCACGAAAGCGUGGGGAGCAAAUAG
Molecule: ribosomal RNA, 250 nt
Filed under: uncultured bacterium
Lineage: Bacteria
Description: partial 16S ribosomal RNA
Rfam family: Bacterial small subunit ribosomal RNA
Source: RNAcentral